GGAGCGGUGUCCGAGUGGUUGAAGGAGGCGGUCUUGAAAACCGUUGUACCGUAAGGUACCGGGGGUUCGAAUCCCCCCUGCUCCG
This 85-nucleotide transfer RNA is filed under the name Spirochaetaceae bacterium. RNAcentral describes it as "tRNA-Ser". It matches the Rfam family "tRNA". Rfam says of the family: Transfer RNA (tRNA) molecules are approximately 80 nucleotides in length. Their secondary structure includes four short double-helical elements and three loops (D, anti-codon, and T loops). Lineage: Bacteria; Pseudomonadati; Spirochaetota; Spirochaetia; Spirochaetales; Spirochaetaceae. The record is from RNAcentral.